RNAcentral lists this long non-coding RNA (407 nucleotides) under Triticum aestivum (bread wheat). Its description in RNAcentral is "long non-coding RNA (TAES_LNC006676)". Lineage: Eukaryota; Viridiplantae; Streptophyta; Magnoliopsida; Poales; Poaceae. The record is from RNAcentral.
UGAUUUCAGACAUCACAAAAUAUGGAUUUCACAUAUUUGCACAUCAAUUUUGACAAUUCCAGAAAGAAAUUUAACUUGAUUCACAACUGAAAUAUAUUGUAAUUACACUGAAAGUGCCCAAGUUGUAUUGUUUCACAAUUCACAUCAAAUACAACUACUGAAUUCUCAUUUCACCUCCAGAAAACAAUAACUAAUUAUCUUCACAUAACAAGAACUGAAACUGAAUCCACGACAAGGAGCAGGGGAGGCCAUCUGGUAAAAAGGCAAGGGAAGUUCAAAUCAUGCACAACAAAACAAAUUCAUUUGGAAUACAGAGAGAGAUGCAAGGGGAGGUGGGCUUCAUAGCUCACCAGAGGGAUGCAGCCAGAUCCGCGGGAGAGAAAAAGGGGAAGGGAUCUGGCGGCGGC